GGGUUGUGAGGUUAAGCGACUAAGCGUACACGGUGGAUGCCCUGGCAGUCAGAGGCGAUGAAGGACGUGCUAAUCUGCGAUAAGCGUCGGUAAGGUGAUAUGAACCGUUAUAACCGGCGAUUUCCGAAUGGGGAAACCCAGUGUGUUUCGACACACUAUCAUUAACUGAAUCCAUAGGUUAAUGAGGCGAACCGGGGGAACUGAAACAUCUAAGUACCCCGAGGAAAAGAAAUCAACCGAGAUUCCCCCAGUAGCGGCGAGCGAACGGGGAGCAGCCCAGAGCCUGAAUCAGUGUGUGUGUUAGUGGAAGCGUCUGGAAAGGCGUGCGAUACAGGGUGACAGCCCCGUACACAAAAAUGCACAUGCUGUGAGCUCGAUGAGUAGGGCGGGACACGUGGUAUCCUGUCUGAAUAUGGGGGGACCAUCCUCCAAGGCUAAAUACUCCUGACUGACCGAUAGUGAACCAGUACCGUGAGGGAAAGGCGAAAAGAACCCCGGCGAGGGGAGUGAAAAAGAACCUGAAACCGUGUACGUACAAGCAGUGGGAGCACGCUUAGGCGUGUGACUGCGUACCUUUUGUAUAAUGGGUCAGCGACUUAUAUUCUGUAGCAAGGUUAACCGAAUAGGGGAGCCGAAGGGAAACCGAGUCUUAACUGGGCGUUAAGUUGCAGGGUAUAGACCCGAAACCCGGUGAUCUAGCCAUGGGCAGGUUGAAGGUUGGGUAACACUAACUGGAGGACCGAACCGACUAAUGUUGAAAAAUUAGCGGAUGACUUGUGGCUGGGGGUGAAAGGCCAAUCAAACCGGGAGAUAGCUGGUUCUCCCCGAAAGCUAUUUAGGUAGCGCCUCGUGAAUUCAUCUCCGGGGGUAGAGCACUGUUUCGGCAAGGGGGUCAUCCCGACUUACCAACCCGAUGCAAACUGCGAAUACCGGAGAAUGUUAUCACGGGAGACACACGGCGGGUGCUAACGUCCGUCGUGAAGAGGGAAACAACCCAGACCGCCAGCUAAGGUCCCAAAGUCAUGGUUAAGUGGGAAACGAUGUGGGAAGGCCCAGACAGCCAGGAUGUUGGCUUAGAAGCAGCCAUCAUUUAAAGAAAGCGUAAUAGCUCACUGGUCGAGUCGGCCUGCGCGGAAGAUGUAACGGGGCUAAACCAUGCACCGAAGCUGCGGCAGCGACGCUUAUGCGUUGUUGGGUAGGGGAGCGUUCUGUAAGCCUGCGAAGGUGUGCUGUGAGGCAUGCUGGAGGUAUCAGAAGUGCGAAUGCUGACAUAAGUAACGAUAAAGCGGGUGAAAAGCCCGCUCGCCGGAAGACCAAGGGUUCCUGUCCAACGUUAAUCGGGGCAGGGUGAGUCGACCCCUAAGGCGAGGCCGAAAGGCGUAGUCGAUGGGAAACAGGUUAAUAUUCCUGUACUUGGUGUUACUGCGAAGGGGGGACGGAGAAGGCUAUGUUGGCCGGGCGACGGUUGUCCCGGUUUAAGCGUGUAGGCUGGUUUUCCAGGCAAAUCCGGAAAAUCAAGGCUGAGGCGUGAUGACGAGGCACUACGGUGCUGAAGCAACAAAUGCCCUGCUUCCAGGAAAAGCCUCUAAGCAUCAGGUAACAUCAAAUCGUACCCCAAACCGACACAGGUGGUCAGGUAGAGAAUACCAAGGCGCUUGAGAGAACUCGGGUGAAGGAACUAGGCAAAAUGGUGCCGUAACUUCGGGAGAAGGCACGCUGAUAUGUAGGUGAAGUCCCUCGCGGAUGGAGCUGAAAUCAGUCGAAGAUACCAGCUGGCUGCAACUGUUUAUUAAAAACACAGCACUGUGCAAACACGAAAGUGGACGUAUACGGUGUGACGCCUGCCCGGUGCCGGAAGGUUAAUUGAUGGGGUCAGCGCAAGCGAAGCUCUUGAUCGAAGCCCCGGUAAACGGCGGCCGUAACUAUAACGGUCCUAAGGUAGCGAAAUUCCUUGUCGGGUAAGUUCCGACCUGCACGAAUGGCGUAAUGAUGGCCAGGCUGUCUCCACCCGAGACUCAGUGAAAUUGAACUCGCUGUGAAGAUGCAGUGUACCCGCGGCAAGACGGAAAGACCCCGUGAACCUUUACUAUAGCUUGACACUGAACAUUGAGCCUUGAUGUGUAGGAUAGGUGGGAGGCUUUGAAGUGUGGACGCCAGUCUGCAUGGAGCCGACCUUGAAAUACCACCCUUUAAUGUUUGAUGUUCUAACGUUGACCCGUAAUCCGGGUUGCGGACAGUGUCUGGUGGGUAGUUUGACUGGGGCGGUCUCCUCCUAAAGAGUAACGGAGGAGCACGAAGGUUGGCUAAUCCUGGUCGGACAUCAGGAGGUUAGUGCAAUGGCAUAAGCCAGCUUGACUGCGAGCGUGACGGCGCGAGCAGGUGCGAAAGCAGGUCAUAGUGAUCCGGUGGUUCUGAAUGGAAGGGCCAUCGCUCAACGGAUAAAAGGUACUCCGGGGAUAACAGGCUGAUACCGCCCAAGAGUUCAUAUCGACGGCGGUGUUUGGCACCUCGAUGUCGGCUCAUCACAUCCUGGGGCUGAAGUAGGUCCCAAGGGUAUGGCUGUUCGCCAUUUAAAGUGGUACGCGAGCUGGGUUUAGAACGUCGUGAGACAGUUCGGUCCCUAUCUGCCGUGGGCGCUGGAGAACUGAGGGGGGCUGCUCCUAGUACGAGAGGACCGGAGUGGACGCAUCACUGGUGUUCGGGUUGUCAUGCCAAU
RNAcentral lists this ribosomal RNA (2716 nucleotides) under Escherichia coli. RNAcentral's name for it is "partial 23S ribosomal RNA". It matches the Rfam family "Bacterial large subunit ribosomal RNA". Lineage: Bacteria; Pseudomonadati; Pseudomonadota; Gammaproteobacteria; Enterobacterales; Enterobacteriaceae. The record is from RNAcentral.